Non-coding RNA from Ciona intestinalis (vase tunicate), 46 nucleotides. NCBI's taxonomy places the organism in Eukaryota, Metazoa, Chordata, Ascidiacea, Phlebobranchia, Cionidae. The record is from Rfam.
UGAACGGUCCUUUUCAGGACCACCGCAGAGAUGAGGGUACGCUGAC